UUUAAAAGAAGUUAAUAUCUUUAUUCUACUUUUCCCAGAUUGCUUUCUCACUGCCCCUCCUUGUACACAUUACCUCGUUUGAAGCAGAGGUAAUGCCUUGUUUUCAGUAGGUCCUGAAGAAAAUAAUGUGAGGAUGGUUUAAGAGUCUGUGCUGCACCAUGUUUAUCAUGGUUGUUUGUUUCAGACUCUUGACCCUCUAUUCCCGUGGCUUAAACUUACACUCUGGUACCUUUGCAGGAUGGUUCCUACAUCAGUUGAACGACUCCGAGAAGGAGGUAGCAUCCCUAAGGUUCUUCGAAGCAGUGUGAGAGUUGCCCAAAAGGGAGAGCCAUCUCCCACGUGGGAGAGCAACAUCACAGAGAAAGAGUCAGGUGAGCGAAGGUCUGCAGUUCACAGCAAAUGUUGGGAUAAAGUGAAUCAGUUUCUGACAUACUUGGGUUCUGCUUUAUGCUAGCUUCCAGUUCAGUCUUACUCUUUGGGCUACAGUAUACACGAGAUCUAGCAUUGCUUGCUCUUUGUCUGCUCUCUUCCCAAGGGAUACUUUUCU
Molecule: long non-coding RNA, 547 nt
Filed under: Rattus norvegicus (Norway rat)
Lineage: Eukaryota; Metazoa; Chordata; Mammalia; Rodentia; Muridae
Description: long non-coding RNA NONRATT020777
Source: RNAcentral